CAGCUAUAUCAUGUUGAAACACCUGUUCCCGUAUGAUUACUGAUGGUAAGCAACACUGAUCCCGGUUAGUGCUGAAAUAGGUAACCACUUAGGAAUACCAGGUGCUGUAAG
This is a non-coding RNA of Acanthosepion pharaonis, 111 nucleotides long. The record is from the annotation of a GenBank genome assembly. Lineage: Eukaryota; Metazoa; Mollusca; Cephalopoda; Sepiida; Sepiidae.